Molecule: long non-coding RNA, 3860 nt
Organism: Triticum dicoccoides
Lineage: Eukaryota; Viridiplantae; Streptophyta; Magnoliopsida; Poales; Poaceae
Exons: 4
Source: RefSeq, a predicted model, not a curated record
UCCAAUUGCAGUUCACGUGAGGACACCUCCAUUAGCACGAAGACAAAGACAGCCAAAGCAAUUAACAGAGAAAGCCUGUAUCUGGUAGCCAAGCGAGACCUGCAGGAGCAUCGAGGUGCAUGGAUUGAUCAAGGAGUUGGGGCGUGUUGAGCAGGUCAAACGCCACCGACGUCGGUGGCGUACUGGCGUUGGGGCCAUAUGCCUGAGUACCUAUCCGACUUUCUUUACAAUGCAAUUUCUUCGCCGGCUGGUGCUUAUGGGUGAGAGUGACCAACAUGUAAGCUAGCCUAGCUAAGCUAACACACUGGUGGAUGGAUUCUGCAGAGGACAACCACGUACAAGCUGAAGCUGGUGGAUGGAUCGAUCACAGUGUACGCUACCAGGCUAGAGCUAGCCAACGGCUUCUCGCCCGAUGGAAACGAACAGACCAAGUCUCGCCGAGACACGCGCGCGACCCACGGAAUUAUGGCAACAAUUCUUAUGUGUGCACUUUGUUUCAAUUAUUUUGCUGCUUUUUCUAGGUCGCCCCAGACCUGACCUUCCUCAUGGCUUCCCUCAUCUAUGCCAAGCCGGCCGGAGGGCAGGGAGAGGCGGCGGGGCUUGGUGCACGCUGGUUCCUCCGGAUCGACUCCCUACUCAGAUCUGCACGCCCCUGAUGAUUGGAGGUAGGUUAAUCACUCUCCUCUUUAAAACUAGAUCGUUUUCUUCUUUGAUCUGGAAAACAUAAAGCCUUAGACACCCAACGGUAUGUUUCAACACGUUUUUAGCCUUGAUUUGAUGUAAAAAGGAUCUAAUUUCUCUUCCUGCUUAUGUUCUGGAUUUCAUCUUUUCUCCUUUCUCUGAUUUACUCAUACACGACUCCUGACUUGCUGCAUGUGGCUGCUGAAUCUUCCUACUACAGGUGUGCCUUUCACAUGUUCGUUGAGUUGCUUAAUGUCAUAUUUUUUUUUUAAAUCUGGAGUUAUGCAAUUGCAGCAACAAGGACGGAUGGCCAUCUUCACAGGUUAUGCCCCUUACUGUAAUUUGCAUUCAGUCAUGUGCAGUAAUAAUGCCAUAUUUGUUAGCCUGCUAGCUGUUUCCAGAUUUUUUUAGACAUGAUUGACUGCUUCUACACAAAAGGAGUUUGUCGAAAAUAAGAGCAAUCCCACUGUUGCUACAGAGCCUGAAGAUUCUUUGCCUUUCUUUGAACUGUUUCAGUUUUUUCUUUCAUAUGGCUACAAUUAUUUGAUUGGUCCAUGUAGAUUUAGGCAACAUGAGAUGAGCCGAUGAUAUAUAUUGUAAUGUACGAUGUCUAUUGCUACAAGUGUUGAUGUCUUGGUGAUGGCAGGUUUUGCAAGUAAUUGAAAUGAUUUUUGAGUAGAGGAUAAUUAGAGAUAUAAAGUUCUACCUGAUCUUGAGGUAUGUGAAAGUGAACUCGGUGAUUUCGAGUAAUUCUAAGAGUAUACAUCUCAUCUAUCUGGUAUCCUUUUUUGAGUAAUGAUAAGAGGAUACAUCUCAUCUAUCAGGAAUUAAUCCAUCUCGUUUUCUCUGUGUUUACCUUGUUCUACAAAUGGCUAACUAGGUAAUGAUUAUUGAUAGCUAAUGACAUGAGGGAGAGGGGGACAAGCCCCUUUAGCUACUGCAAUACGGUUGUGCAUACAAAUGUGCUACUCAUAUUCCACUGUUAGACGAGCUAGCCGCGAGAAGCAGGUUGUAAGGGGAGCCAGAGAGGUGAGGGAGGUGACCAAAGCGGCAGCGGCCUUGGGGUGCCGAAGAAGAGUGCACGGGAGGAUGGAAAGGGGCUCGUAUACGACGGCUGGAAGAGAACUAUGCUUUCCUAAACCUGAAUGGGCCAGAAGUGGCAAGACAGAUCUGGCAGUCAAUUAUUCUUCAGUUUCGGUUGUGAUGUUUCAACAUGAGUUCGGAGCGUUAAUGCUUUGCUGAUGCGAGGAGGUGAAGUUGUAUGCUACCAGAGUGCAGAUAUUUCUUGGUAUGUUUGCUUUCAAGAAAAGAUGGAUGUGUGUUGUGACUGUGACAGAUGGUUCUACUGGAUAUGCUGUUGGGUAUAUAACAAGAAGCAUUGGUAAGGAUAUCAAAAUACAAGAGAAUGCUGCAACGACCAAGGUGCCAUAUAUAUAUCGAAGGAGGAUUCAGAAUAUGAAGUUACUGGAAACAUUGUUGGAAGUGUUGGUCCUGAGAGCACAGAAAAGGAUUCAUCGUUUCUUAUAAAAACAUUACGAUCAUUCAAAGAAGCUUUGAUUAAGGAGGAUGACACAAAUGUUGCUGAGAUUGAGGCCUUCUUACUUUGCAUUGAUGUCGAUGAUGAGAAGAACUCUCUUAUGAGGAAAAUCAUUGCUUUGAAUUAUUGAUAACCGUGAGAGAUCGUGUCUUGAGAGCAGGUGCAGAAUCUGAAUUCUACAGAUUGAGAGCAGGUGCAGAUUCUGAAUUCUGUACACAGAAGAUAGAAACAGAGAGCUGGUGGCAAAUGUGCAAGGGGAGGUUAUGGAGAGCUUUCUUCGCUAGCUGAAUAAGUCUAUCAGGAGUCAAGGCCUGUUUUGUUGGAGGCUUGAUGGAACUUGCCUGGCCUGAUAAGUAACUGUGCGCGCGGUUUGGUUGGCGUCCUGGGUGCUUGGCUUGAGCUAGCAUGCCGUGUUGUUAUCUUGGUUGAGGCAGCUGGAGUUAGCAACGUGAUUAGUCAAGGGUGGCUGUCGAUGCCAUCUAAAAAAUACUCCCUCCGUCCCAUAGUGUAAGACGUUUUUUGACACUACACUAAUGUCAAAAAAGUCCUAUAUUAUGGGACGGAGGGAGUAGGUCUUAAAACUUCAUAUUUUCUCAGGAAAAAUUCGUAUGAAUUAAUGAAUAUCAGGCUACAUUCAGGCGAUAUUGUUUGUCAGGCACAGCGCUCAGGUAGCAACCACACAUUUAAGUGAGCUUUUGUUGAAAUGCGUUGGUACUUUAGUUUUUAGAUUCUGUGAUGAUUUUAUGCAUAAAUACAUGAGCUCUUUCAACCAGUACCACAUAGUAUUAAUGAGGUAACAGAAGCUUGCAAUUCAAUUAUGCUGCAUCUGCCCGAGUCUAGAAGGUCAGAUAAGUUGUUCCGCAAUAUAGACAACAACUUUUUAUGUGUCAUCACAGUGGGCCGAGAACUUGUUGAUGAAGCCAAUGAUUUGGUUGAUCAUAGUGAUAGGGCAUCAGAUGUAAUGCUAGAUUUAACCCCAGACAAAUGGGCAAACAUGAAAAGAGGAAAGAUGUCAAUGCAUGAGCCAGAGGGUUCCAGUGGUGAAUAUUUUGGACCAGAAGUCAAGGAUGUUUCACGCGAAGAAGCCAUUCUUUCCAAUGUUUACAUAUAAGAUAUACCAGUACAUCCCAAUUGGUAGGGCCCCUCCACUGAUAAGCUGGAUAUCCUUUCAACAAGUGGCUCGGAGAGAAUAAAGCGUUAGAUUUUAUCAUGCUUUUACAGUUUAACAUGUCAAAGAAGGGAGAGGAGACACCAGCGGAUGGCAAGAUGGAUGAACUGUUGGACAGUGUUAGCCUUAAUUACCUAAUUCCUAAUGAAGUUGAAAACUUUAUGACCAUCAUAGAAAAUGUGCAACACUCUUCUUCUGAGCAUGAAGGGCAGAAUGAUGAUUUCGAAGCAAAUGUCAUUGAGCAAGAUGAUGAACACAUUGGAAAGAUUUUACUAAUCUUACUGUUGCAUGCAAAGACAUUGGUGAUGUCAUAUCAGAAGACCCACAGAAGGUAUAGGUUUCCGAGGGCCAAGCAGAAAUAAGUGAAGGCUAUGCCGGUAUUCUAAAUAACGGCAACACAUGUUAUGUAAACACAGUUCUGCAGUAUUUUCAUUGUUUAUCGGAGCUCAAAGAAAUCUUAAUAAUUUGUGAACA